Molecule: ribosomal RNA, 253 nt
Filed under: uncultured bacterium
Lineage: Bacteria
Description: partial 16S ribosomal RNA
Rfam family: Bacterial small subunit ribosomal RNA
Source: RNAcentral
UACGUAGGGGGCGAGCGUUGUCCGGAGUUACUGGGCGUAAAGCGCACGCAGGCGGUCUGUUAAGUUUGGAGUGACAGUUGGUGGCUUAACUGCCAAAGUGCUUCGAAAACUGACAGACUUGAGGGCUUCAGAGGGACACGGAAUUCCGGGUGGAGUGGUGAAAUGCGUAGAGAUCCGGAGGAACACCAACGGCGAAAGCACUCUGCUGGGCCGACACUGACACUGAGAGACGAAAGCUAGGGGAGCGAAUGGG